This 476-nucleotide ribosomal RNA is filed under the name uncultured bacterium. RNAcentral describes it as "partial 16S ribosomal RNA". It matches the Rfam family "Bacterial small subunit ribosomal RNA", at positions 30 to 506 of the family's 1533-position model. The record is from RNAcentral.
AUUGAACGCUGGCGGCAUGCCUUACACAUGCAAGUCGAACGGUAACAGGUUAAGCUGCCGAGUGGCGAACGGGUGAGUAAUGUAUCGGAACGUGCCCAGUCGUGGGGGAUAACUGCUCGAAAGAGCAGCUAAUACCGCAUACGACCUGAGGGUGAAAGCGGGGGAUCGCAAGACCUCGCGCGAUUGGAGCGGCCGAUAUCAGAUUAGGUAGUUGGUGAGGUAAAGGCUCACCAAGCCGACGAUCUGUAGCUGGUCUGAGAGGACGACCAGCCACACUGGGACUGAGACACGGCCCAGACUCCUACGGGAGGCAGCAGUGGGGAAUUUUGGACAAUGGGCGCAAGCCUGAUCCAGCCAUGCCGCGUGCGGGAAGAAGGCCUUCGGGUUGUAAACCGCUUUUGUCAGGGAAGAAAAGGUUCUGGCUAAUACCUGGGACUCAUGACGGUACCUGAAGAAUAAGCACCGGCUAACUACGU